RNA transcript from Arabidopsis lyrata subsp. lyrata, 1973 nucleotides. It is a transcript of the gene named transcription termination factor MTERF2, chloroplastic, with no coding region annotated. The record is from RefSeq and is a predicted model, not a curated record. The transcript has a single exon. NCBI's taxonomy places the organism in Eukaryota, Viridiplantae, Streptophyta, Magnoliopsida, Brassicales, Brassicaceae.
UGAGGAUCAAAGAGGAAUCCUAAUUGAAAUUCAUUAGGGUUUAUGGGUGAGAGAAACUUAUCAUAAAGCCUUAUUUCGUUAUUUCCUCCCCCAAAGUUUCGAUUUUUGCGAUUCUCUGUUUUUCCUUCUCCUCUGCUCUGUUUCUGGUUCUGUAAUCGCAUAGCCUAGUCUUUGUCAUGUAUUCUCUGAUUCUCCAUGGAAGAAGGUUGGUCGAAUUGCAUAAAUGGCGCCAUUUGAGAUUUGCUCUGCAAAAUGCAUCUCCUUUGUCCAAUUCCUUCUCUUCUGCUGCUGCUGCUGAUGUGAGGUCAAGAGAUGGUCGAAAAGGAAAGAACUUUACGGUCUCUUACCUCGUUGAUUCAUUGGGUUUCACUACAAAACUCGCAGAAUCGAUCUCAAGGAAAGUUCAUUUCACCGACAAGGCAAAUCCGGAUUCAGUUCUGAGUCUUUUGAGAAGUCAUGGCUUCAUAGAUUCUCAGAUCUCCUGCAUCAUUACCGAUUAUCCAGAAUUGCUUAUACUAGAUGCUGAGAAAUCACUUGGUCGCAAGCUUCAGAUUCUACAGUCUAGAGGAGCUUCAAGCUCUGAACUCACUGAGAUUGUUUCUACAGUUCCGAGAAUCUUAGGAAGGAAAUCUAUCACUGUAUACUAUGAUGCUGUCAAAGAAAUUAUAGUAGCCGAUAAGAGUUCGAGUUAUGAACUCCCACGGGGUUCUCAGGGGAAUAAAAUCCGAAAUGUAUCUGUUUUGAGACAAUUGGGCAUGCCUCAGUGGUUGUUAUUACCCUUGCUUGUCUCCAAAUCGCAGCCUGUGUGUGGAAAAGAAAAUUUUGAAGAAUCCCUUAAGAAGGUUGUUGAGAUGGGUUUUGAUCCCACCACCUCUAAGUUUGUUGUAGCUUUGCGCAUGCUUUACCAAAUGAGCGAGAAAACGAUUGAAGAAAAAGUUGUAGUCUAUACAAGUGUAGGUUUUACUCUGGAUGAUGUAUGGGAAAUUUUCAAGAAGACUCCUUCCGUUUUGAAAGUCUCCAAGAAGAAGAUAUUGAAGUCUGCUGAAACAUUUCUAGCCCUAGGAUUUAGCAGAGCUGAGUUUUUGAUGAUGGUCAAGCGUUAUCCUCCUUGCAUUGAAUAUUCUCUAGAGUCGGUUAAAAGGAAGAAUGAGUUUCUGGUGAAGAAGAUGAAUUGGCCACUAAAUGCCUUGGUUUUGCACCCUCAGGUGUUUGGAUACAGCAUGGAGAAGAGGAUUAUACCAAGGUGUAACGUACUCAAAGUUCUCUUGUCGAAAGGACUGCUCAGAAAGAAAAGCGAACUACCUGCAGUGUCCUCUGUUUUGUCGUGUACCGAUGAAGGAUUUUUAAAUAGGUAUGUGAUGAAGCACAACGAGCUGGCGCCUACGUUGAUGGCUAUCUUCACCAAAGGUCGUGUUUCAUAGAUCAAAAGGCACACCUACAACAAUGAGCAAUGCCAAGGUUUGUUCUUAUUUUGUUGUUGUCAGUUUUAGAUCUGUCGAUGGAUCUUUUGAUAUGACAAUGGGAAGCAAAAGAAAAGCUUUGUUAAUGUAUCGAUGAAACCCCAAUUUUUGUGCUUCUGUAAUCUCAAUUUGACCUGGAUCCAAUGAUUUCAUGAUAUGUCUAAAAUGUUGCAUGGAUACAUUGGCUCUUUAGUUCUUGUUACGAGCUGCUACGAGAGACGUGUCAAGUUCAAUAUUUUUCUCCUUUUCAUUUCCAUACUUGCUUGUCAAUUUUUUCGCUGCUCUUUUGGAUUAUGUUGUGCGGAAGUUAUGGUUUACAUGGUCUCUACUCUGUAUCAGGUUCGUAUUUUCAAUUAAGAAGCUUUAGUUGGAAUCAAAGUGGAGGACCCUAAUUGAGGAUUUUAAUGGUCGUUGUUAGAACCUUUCUUGUAGUUGGUGGAGUGUAGAAAAAUGAUUUGUUUUCAGGUAACAAAAUGGACAUUUCUUACUCUCUGGAUUCAGAGUUUAUUUGCA